Long non-coding RNA from Lycium barbarum (goji berry), 581 nucleotides. RefSeq lists it as uncharacterized. NCBI's taxonomy places the organism in Eukaryota, Viridiplantae, Streptophyta, Magnoliopsida, Solanales, Solanaceae. The transcript is spliced from 3 exons. The record is from RefSeq and is a predicted model, not a curated record.
AAAACUUUGUACUCUUUUCUUUUAAUCAGUAUUUGUCUAUUUGUUCUAAAAAAAAAAAAACAAAGUUCCAAAACGCUGAAACACCAAUUCAUAUCACAAAAUUGCAAACCCAUUAACACCAACUCUUAUCACAAAAUUGCAAACCCAUUCAAACGGACACACCAACACUUUACGAUGUGAAUCGCAGUGUUUGCUCGAGUUCGUCGAUUGAGGUCGCUUACCAAUAGAUUUGAUAUUUAGCUCAGUUGAUUGCGUCUGCUUCUCUCCAGGUACUCACUCUGUCAUAAUUUUUUUGUAUUUAUUUUGCAAUUCUCAACAGUUGAUUCUGAAUUGUAGUCCCAUAUUCCUUUGAUAUACACUUUAUGCCUGAGAUGCGUAAUACAAUUUUUGGGGUUUAUUUUUGGGGGUUUGUGCCAUUAAAAUUUUUGAAUUAAAUUUUUUAGUGUUCUCUUUGGUAUUUUUUCUUAAAAUUUAUUCUAGAUUGGUUUCUUCUUAUGCUGCAAGGAAGUGUUGAAAUUUUGGAGAUUUAAGCUUAUGUGUUUGCUUUCUUAAGAGGAUUUAUACUUUAUGCUUAAGAUGCG